Molecule: ribosomal RNA, 429 nt
Filed under: Fusobacteriota bacterium
Lineage: Bacteria; Fusobacteriati; Fusobacteriota
Description: Fusobacteria bacterium partial 16S ribosomal RNA
Rfam family: Bacterial small subunit ribosomal RNA
Source: RNAcentral
UGGGGAAUCUUCCGCAAUGGACGAAAGUCUGACGGAGCAACGCCGCGUUAGUGAAGACGGCCUUCGGGUUGUAAAGCUCUGUUAUCCGGGACGAAAGAGCCUGAGGUAAAUAGCCUAAGGAAGUGACGGUACCGGAAAAGCAAGCCACGGCUAACUACGUGCCAGCAGCCGCUGUAAUACGUAGGUGGCAAGCGUUGUCCGGAAUUAUUGGGCGUAAAGCGCGCGCAGGCGGCUUCCUAAGUUCAUCUUAAAAGUGCGGGGCUUAACCCCGUGAUGGGAUGGAAACUGGGAAGCUGGAGUAUCGGAGAGGAAAGUGGAAUUCCUAGUGUAGCGGUGAAAUGCGUAGAGAUUAGGAAGAACACCGGGGGCGAAGGCGACUUUCUGGACGAAAACUGACGCUGAGGCGCGAAAGCGUGGGGAGCAAACAGG